Molecule: RNA transcript, 1698 nt
Organism: Octodon degus (degu)
Lineage: Eukaryota; Metazoa; Chordata; Mammalia; Rodentia; Octodontidae
Gene name: vesicle-trafficking protein SEC22b pseudogene
Exons: 2
Source: RefSeq, a predicted model, not a curated record
AUGGGGCAGCACUGCGGGGCAGGGUCGGGUCCCAGCGUCAGGUUGCUAACGAUGAUCGCCCGAGUGGCGGACAGGCUUCCACUGGCCGCGUCGAUGCAGGAGGACGAGCAGUCUGGCCGGGACCUUCAACAGUAUCAGACUCAGGCUAAGCAUCUCUUUCGAAAGUUGAAUGAACAGUCUCCUACAAGAUGUACCUUGGAAGCAGGGGCCAUGACUUUUCACUACAUUAUUGAGCAGGGAGUGUGCUAUUUGGUUUUGUGUGAAGCUGCCUUCCCUAAAAAGUUGGCUUUUGCCUACCUAGAAGAUUUACAUUCAGAAUUUGAUGAACAGCAUGGGAAGAAAGUGCCUACCGUAUCUAGACCAUAUUCCUUUAUUGAAUUUGAUACCUUCAUUCAGAAAACAAAGAAGCUCUACAUUGACAGUCGUGCCCGGAAAAACCUGGGCUCCAUCAACACUGAGUUACAAGAUGUACAGAGGAUCAUGGUGGCCAAUAUCGAGGAGGUGUUGCAAAGGGGAGAAGCACUCUCAGCAUUGGAUUCAAAGGCUAACAAUUUGUCCAGUCUGUCCAAGAAAUAUCGCCAGGAUGUGAAGUACUUGAACAUGCGUUCCACUUAUGCCAAACUUGUAGCUGUAGCUGUAUUUUUCAUCAUGUUAAUAGUGUAUGUGCGAUUCUGGUGGCUGUGAAGUAGUAAACACAGUCACUGGUAAGAGACAACCUAGAACCUGGCAGGUGUAUGUUUUCAGGAAGCUGAGCUCACAGGGAUAUGUAUUAGAACCCAAGUGGAACUUCUGCCUCUAAAGACCUUGCAAGAAAAUACAUCCUGAAAAUGAAAGUUCGCGCCUCCUUUAAUGAAGCUUAACCCUAUGUGAAAAGUCUCUUGGGGGCAGAGGCUUUCUCUGGGUGCUAAGCCAUACAUGUUAGGGAACAGUAGAUUGUUUUAUUUUUUUCCCCUCCCAGUAAGAGUUUAAAACAGCACUGACUGGGACAGUCUAAUCCUCUGAUAGAGCCAUUAAUGGGAUGUAAGGUAACCAACCCGCGCUAGCAGCAUUCGGAGUUCCUUCAAAGAAGACAGCCAUCUGGGAAGGUUUUUGACUUUAAAUAACGUUCCUUUUGUUUGUGACAUUUGUGACUUUUAGUAAGCUGAGUUUUUGAUGGCCUUUAAACCAGACUCCAAAUAUGUGAAGGUUAAUGGCUAUACUACACAGAUUCUGUCUGUUGGCCUCUAACUAAACUUUUAUUGUUUUCCUCUUAUAUUUCACUUAUUUCCUAGUUACUUUAAAGUUAAAUGAAUUAUGUUAAGAUGCUUUGAAAUUACCUAGCACUCCUUGAUUAAGAAGUUAAAGUUUUUUCUCACUCUUUGAACAUAAAGACUUAAAUUAGUUUGGGAUAUUAUUAAAUUUAUUUUGUAGCAUUUGGUUUAUAUUAAUAUAAGAGCAACAUAGCAUAGCAUAGCCAGAGCCCCAUGGCUUAAUAAAAAGAAAAGCCCAGCCUAGAACUACAGUUCGUCAACCCCCUCAUUCAGUUUGUUCACUAUAGUUUUCCCCACUCCUUGUUUCCCUUCUGCCAUAGCGUAACAUUUUAAAAAUUCCCCUGUGCCUAGUAAUUUCACAUCCCAUAAACAUCCUCAGUGUUUUCUUAAAUUUUAAAAUGAAAACUAUCCAGUUCUAUAGAUUUAAAACUUGCAGAUCACUUACUAA